UGUCCCGUAUUAGUGCCGUCUUUCAUCCUUCAUUGAACGUAUGGCUAUGCUAACGGGGUAGAAAAACACUGUCACGGUCUGAAGGUGUGGCUGCUGAAUGUGCGCCUCACUAAAUAAAGUGACAGAACAAAAAUAU
Molecule: small nucleolar RNA, 136 nt
Filed under: Gouania willdenowi (blunt-snouted clingfish)
Lineage: Eukaryota; Metazoa; Chordata; Actinopteri; Blenniiformes; Gobiesocidae
Description: Small nucleolar RNA SNORA29 (ENSGWIG00000018258.1)
Rfam family: Small nucleolar RNA SNORA29
About the family: ACA29 is a member of the H/ACA class of snoRNA that guide the sites of modification of uridines to pseudouridines.
Source: Rfam by way of RNAcentral